UGGGGAAUUUUGGACAAUGGGCGAAAGCCUGAUCCAGCAAUGCCCGCGUGUGUGAAGAAGGCCUUCGGGUUGUAAAGCACUUUUGUCCGGAAAGAAAUCCUUGGCUCUAAUACAGUCGGGGGAUGACGGUACCGGAAGAAUAAGCACCGGCUAACUACGUGCCAGCAGCCGCGGUAAUACGUAGGGUGCAAGCGUUAAUCGGAAUUACUGGGCGUAAAGCGUGCGCAGGCGGUUUGCUAAGACCGAUGUGAAAUCCCCGGGCUCAAACCUGGGGAACUGCAUUGGUGACUGGCAGGCUAGAGUAUGGCAGAGGGGGGUAGAAUUCCACGUGUAGCAAGUGAAAUGCGUAGAGAUGUGAGGAAUACCGAUGGCGAAGGCAGCCCCCUGGGCCAAAUACUGACGCUCAUGCACGAAAGCGUGGGGAGCAAACAGGAUUAGAUACCCUGGUAGUCCACGCCCUAAAACG
This 466-nucleotide ribosomal RNA is filed under the name uncultured bacterium. Its description in RNAcentral is "partial 16S ribosomal RNA". It matches the Rfam family "Bacterial small subunit ribosomal RNA", at positions 355 to 809 of the family's 1533-position model. The record is from RNAcentral.